This 302-nucleotide unclassified non-coding RNA is filed under the name Hevea brasiliensis (rubber tree). Lineage: Eukaryota; Viridiplantae; Streptophyta; Magnoliopsida; Malpighiales; Euphorbiaceae. The record is from RNAcentral.
GAGCUAGAAUUAGUGGGAGGAAUUGAAGAAGACUGAGGUAUGGGGGAAGGUGAGUUGGAGAUCGGCGAGGAAACUCUGGAUUUGGCAUCACCAGUGGACUUAUUGUUGCUCACUUCCUUCGAAUCAAACUUCAUUGAAUCAUUUGCAACUACUUCUUGCUUUGUUGGUCCCUGAGGCUGCCUCAUUAAGCCAUACAACACCUCAGCGACCUCAAUCUCCUCCUGAGUUGAGGAAGUAAACUUAGACGAGGAUUUCGGCGGUCUCUGCUUCGGCCCAUUAGGCUUCAUCUUCUUCUUAACUGA